GAUGAGAACUUGAAAGCAAGCCUUGCCCCAGAGAACUGCAAAUGCCGAUUUAACCUCAAUACAGAAACUAGAAAGUUUCCACCAGCUCACUCUAAUUAUUUAACAUCCACCAGCAUCCCAGGAAUUGUGCUCCUUGCCUCCGUAAUUAGAGCGAUUAUGGUGGCCAGUUACGCAAAGCAUUUUGAAAUAUAGGAAUGUAAGUAUGAACAAGACUAUGGCAAAUUUUAUUAUAAUUUCAUGUGGUUCUUACUACCUGGCUCCAGAAAGAGGAAAAAGGUAGGUGUAAGGGUUUCUAUUUAUUAUUAUUACAUACUUUCCUUAUCUUAUGUGUUAUUGUUGUUGAGAUAUAAGCAGAAACUAUUUAUUGUGUAGGUCUUCCAAGAAAAUAUCUCAAAGAGUUGACUCAUCUGAUAAGCCUGACUUUUAUCUUUCUCCUCCCAUUACCACUUUUUUUCUGCCUGGAAUGUGGAUGCAAUGGAUGGAGCUCCAGCAGCCUUCUUGGACCAUGAGAUCUUAAAGAAAGAAGCUUGCAAAGUGGAACAGAAAGACUUCACGAGGCCUUCAUGGAGCUAAAUCCAGAUCCCUCAUUUCUUAUGUUAUUUUAAUAUGGAAAAAGAAAUGGUGUUCCAGAGACAAACAGCUUGAGUUUAAAUCCUGAGUCUGCUACCUCUUACACCAGUUGCUGGUAACCUUAGAUGCUGAAAUGAAGACUCCCCAAGGUU
This 722-nucleotide long non-coding RNA is filed under the name Homo sapiens (human). RNAcentral describes it as "HSALNT0234810". Lineage: Eukaryota; Metazoa; Chordata; Mammalia; Primates; Hominidae. The record is from RNAcentral.